RNAcentral lists this ribosomal RNA (429 nucleotides) under Chloroflexota bacterium. RNAcentral's name for it is "Chloroflexi bacterium partial 16S ribosomal RNA". It matches the Rfam family "Bacterial small subunit ribosomal RNA", at positions 355 to 776 of the family's 1533-position model. The record is from RNAcentral. Lineage: Bacteria; Bacillati; Chloroflexota.
UGGGGAAUAUUGCACAAUCGGCGCAAGCCUGAUGCAGCCAUGCCGCGUGUAUGAAGAAGGCCUUCGGGUUGUAAAGUACUUUCAGCGGGGAUGAAGGGAGUAAAGUUAAUACCUUUGCUCAUUGACGUUACCCGCAGAAGAAGCACCGGCUAACUCCGUGCCAGCAGCCGCGGUAAUACGGAGGGUGCAAGCGUUAAUCGGAAUUACUGGGCGUAAAGCGCACGCAGGCGGUUUGUUAAGUCAGAUGUGAAAUCCCCGGGCUCAACCUGGGAACUGCAUCUGAUACUGGCAAGCUUGAGUCUCGUAGAGGGAGGUAGAAUUCCAGGUGUAGCGGUGAAAUGCGUAGAGAUCUGGAGGAAUACCGGUGGCGAAGGCAGCCCCCUGGACGAAGACUGACGCUCAGGUGCGAAAGCGUGGGGAGCAAACAGG